This 251-nucleotide unclassified non-coding RNA is filed under the name Hevea brasiliensis (rubber tree). The record is from RNAcentral. Lineage: Eukaryota; Viridiplantae; Streptophyta; Magnoliopsida; Malpighiales; Euphorbiaceae.
AAUCAAUGCUCACAGUUCUGGAAGUUUAUGAAUGAAUAGGACAUACCAAUUCUUUAUCUGGUGUGAUUUGGCUUCUAUUGUUACUCGGUUCUGUAACAAGAGCCAAUUCCCAUCCUGAUGAUUUUCCGGUUUCACCUACUUGAUUAUUUGUUGAUAGAUUUCCUUUGCCUGUAUAAUAUCUCAAAUACAUCAACUAUUAAAAUAGAAUCACCCUCUCGCUUUACACAAGUUGUGUGUAUUACCAGGUGGAA